RNAcentral lists this ribosomal RNA (492 nucleotides) under uncultured bacterium. RNAcentral's name for it is "partial 16S ribosomal RNA". It matches the Rfam family "Bacterial small subunit ribosomal RNA", at positions 29 to 507 of the family's 1533-position model. The record is from RNAcentral.
AGUGAACGCUGGCGGUAGGCCUAACACAUGCAAGUCGAACGGCAGCACAGUAAGAGCUUGCUCUUACGGGUGGCGAGUGGCGGACGGGUGAGGAAUACAUCGGAAUCUACUUUUUCGUGGGGGAUAACGUAGGGAAACUUACGCUAAUACCGCAUACGACCUACGGGUGAAAGCAGGGGAUCUUCGGACCUUGCGCGAUUGAAUGAGCCGAUGUCGGAUUAGCUAGUUGGCGGGGUAAAGGCCCACCAAGGCGACGAUCCGUAGCUGGUCUGAGAGGAUGAUCAGCCACACUGGAACUGAGACACGGUCCAGACUCCUACGGGAGGCAGCAGUGGGGAAUAUUGGACAAUGGGCGCAAGCCUGGUCCAGCCAUACCGCGUGGGUGAAGAAGGCCUUCGGGUUAUAAAGCCCUUUUGUUGGGAAAGAAAAGCAGCAGGUUAAUACCCCGCUGUUCUGACGGUACCCAAAGAAUAAGCACCGGCUAACUUCGUG